This 807-nucleotide ribosomal RNA is filed under the name uncultured bacterium. Its description in RNAcentral is "bacterial SSU rRNA". It matches the Rfam family "Bacterial small subunit ribosomal RNA", at positions 8 to 809 of the family's 1533-position model. The record is from RNAcentral.
AGAGUUUGAUCCUGGCUCAGAUUGAACGCUGGCGGCAGGCCUAACACAUGCAAGUCGAGCGGAUGAAGGGAGCUUGCUUCUGGAUUUAGCGGCGGACGGGUGAGGAAUACGCAGGAAUCUACCUAGUAGUGGGGGAUAACGUAGGGAAACUUACGCUAAUACCGCAUACGACCUACGGGUGAAAGCAGGGGACCUUCGGGCCCUGCGCUAUUAGAUGAGCCUGCGUCGGAUUAGCUAGUUGGUGGGGUAAAGGCCUACCAAGGCGACGAUCCGUAGCUGGUCUGAGAGGACGAUCAGCCACACUGGGACUGAGACACGGCCCAGACUCCUACGGGAGGCAGCAGUGGGGAAUUUUGGACAAUGGGCGCAAGCCUGAUCCAGCAAUGCCGCGUGCAGGAUGAAGGCCUUCGGGUUGUAAACUGCUUUUGUACGGAACGAAAAGCUCUGGGCUAAUACCUUGGAGUCAUGACGGUACCGUAAGAAUAAGCACCGGCUAACUACGUGCCAGCAGCCGCGGUAAUACGUAGGGUGCAAGCGUUAAUCGGAAUUACUGGGCGUAAAGCGUGCGCAGGCGGUUUUGUAAGACAGUGGUGAAAUCCCCGGGCUCAACCUGGGAACUGCCAUUGUGACUGCAAGGCUAGAGUGCGGCAGAGGGGGAUGGAAUUCCGCGUGUAGCAGUGAAAUGCGUAGAUAUGCGGAGGAACACCGAUGGCGAAGGCAAUCCCCUGGGCCUGCACUGACGCUCAUGCACGAAAGCGUGGGGAGCAAACCAGGAUUAGAUACCCUGGUAGUCCACGCCCUAAACGA